RNAcentral lists this transfer RNA (64 nucleotides) under Caloenas maculata (spotted green pigeon). RNAcentral's name for it is "tRNA-Ser". Lineage: Eukaryota; Metazoa; Chordata; Aves; Columbiformes; Columbidae. The record is from RNAcentral.
GAGGGGGGUUCAAACAACAAGAACUGCUAAUUCCUGUAUCUGAGUCUAAAACCUCAGCCCCCUU